Molecule: transfer RNA, 72 nt
Organism: Aspergillus aculeatus ATCC 16872
Lineage: Eukaryota; Fungi; Ascomycota; Eurotiomycetes; Eurotiales; Aspergillaceae
Rfam family: tRNA
About the family: Transfer RNA (tRNA) molecules are approximately 80 nucleotides in length. Their secondary structure includes four short double-helical elements and three loops (D, anti-codon, and T loops). Further hydrogen bonds mediate the characteristic L-shaped molecular structure. tRNAs have two regions of fundamental functional importance: the anti-codon, which is responsible for specific mRNA codon recognition, and the 3' end, to which the tRNAs corresponding amino acid is attached (by aminoacyl-tRNA synthetases). tRNAs cope with the degeneracy of the genetic code in two manners: having more than one tRNA (with a specific anti-codon) for a particular amino acid; and 'wobble' base-pairing, i.e. permitting non-standard base-pairing at the 3rd anti-codon position.
Source: Rfam
GCAUUUGUGGCUCAGUGGUAGAGCGUCGCACUCGUAAUGCGAAGGCCGUGGGUUCGAUCCCCAUCAGAUGCA